This 468-nucleotide ribosomal RNA is filed under the name uncultured bacterium. RNAcentral describes it as "partial 16S ribosomal RNA". It matches the Rfam family "Bacterial small subunit ribosomal RNA", at positions 28 to 507 of the family's 1533-position model. The record is from RNAcentral.
GACGAACGCUGGCGGCGUGCUUAACACAUGCCAGUCGAACGGAAAGGCCCUGCUUUUGUGGGGUGCUCGAGUGGCGAACGGGUGAGUAACACGUGAGUAACCUGCCCUUGACUUUGGGAUAACUUCAGGAAACUGGGGCUAAUACCGGAUAGGAGCUCCUGCUGCAUGGUGGGGGUUGGAAAGUUUCGGCGGUUGGGGAUGGACUCGCGGCUUAUCAGCUUGUUGGUGGGGUAGUGGCUUACCAAGGCUUUGACGGGUAGCCGGCCUGAGAGGGUGACCGGCCACAUUGGGACUGAGAUACGGCCCAGACUCCAACGGGAGGCAGCAGUGGGGAAUAUUGCACAAUGGGCGGAAGCCUGAUGCAGCAACGCCGCGUGCGGGAUGACGGCCUUCGGGUUGUAAACCGCUUUCGCCUGUGACGAAGCGUGAGUGACGGUAAUGGGUAAAGAAGCACCGGCUAACUACGUG